Molecule: long non-coding RNA, 743 nt
Filed under: Homo sapiens (human)
Lineage: Eukaryota; Metazoa; Chordata; Mammalia; Primates; Hominidae
Description: HSALNT0316964
Source: RNAcentral
UUCAGGCCAUCUACUGAUUGGAUGAGGCCCACCAGCAUUCUGAAAGACAAGGAAUCUGAGACCUGGCUGGGAGAAGAGGACUUGCCUAAAGUUAUCCCACACAGCAAAUUAGUUGGAAAACCAGGAUAGUUGAGUAAAUAUCCUGGAGCCCAGCCAAGUAAUGAAGCCAGAAUUCAGAAAGCUGUUUUGGCUAGAUCUUGGAUUUUUACAAUAAAGGGUCUGUAAGGGAUAUUUGUGAAAAAUGUUGACACUUGACGGCUGUCCUGAUUCAUUCAGCUACCUAGGUUAUCUCUGCCUCUCUUUGACUUGUGUUUUGUCUUUUAAGAUGGCAGUCUUGCUCUUUUGCCUGGGCUGGUCUUGAACUCCUGGGCUCAAGCAGUUUUCCUGCUUUAGCCUCCUGAGUAGCUGGGGCUACAGGAGGACAUCACUGUGCCCAGCUCUCUCCGUAUCUUUGACUAGGUUAUUUUACAACCCCAUACGAUAGAAAUGAAGUUAUAGAAAACUGAUAGGAAUACAAAUAAUUAUUAUCCAUGGAAAUGCAAAUUGGAUCUAAUGGAAUGAAACUGAUUUUUUUUCCAGCAGAUAGUGACCACCUUUGUAUCCUUUUGUAAAUUCAUUUCAGCAUUCCAUAUUUGACUAAAAAUGUGUGACACUCCCAAUUUGCUUUUGAAUUCAUUGUAAUAUCUACCAAUUCCCUCAUUAAUUAAUGAGUUAAAUAAAGCCUUUGGCAUGUAUUUAUUUUG